UACGUAGGGUGCAAGCGUUAUCCGGAAUUAUUGGGCGUAAAGAGCUCGUAGGCGGUUCGUCGUCGUGUCGCUGUGAAAUCCCGAGGCUCAACCUCGGGCUUGCAGUGGGUACGGGCAGGCUAGAGUGCGGUAGGGGAGAAUGGAACUCCUGGUGUAGCGGUGAAAUGCGUAGAGAUCGGGAGGAACACCAGUGGCGAAGGCGGCCUUCUGGACCAGCACUGACACUCAAGCACGAAAGCGUGGGGAGCAAACAGG
This 255-nucleotide ribosomal RNA is filed under the name uncultured bacterium. RNAcentral's name for it is "partial 16S ribosomal RNA". It matches the Rfam family "Bacterial small subunit ribosomal RNA", at positions 524 to 776 of the family's 1533-position model. The record is from RNAcentral.